GAUGAACGCUAGCUACAGGCUUAACACAUGCAAGUCGAGGGGCAGCACUAGGUAGCAAUACGUGAGGUGGCGACCGGCGCACGGGUGCGUAACGCGUAUCCAACCUUCCCGUUACUCUUGGAUAGCCUUCCGAAAAGGGAGAUUAAUACAAGAUGGUAUUCAAAUUCCGCAUGUUAUUUGAAUUAAAGAUUUAUCGGUUAUGGAUGGGGAUGCGUAAGAUUAGGUAGUAGGCGGGGUAACGGCCCACCUAGCCGACGAUCUUUAGGGGUUCUGAGAGGAAGGUCCCCCACACUGGUACUGAGACACGGACCAGACUCCUACGGGAGGCAGCAGUGAGGAAUAUUGGUCAAUGGGCGGAAGCCUGAACCAGCCAAGUAGCGUGAAGGAUUACAGCCCUACGGGUUUUAAACUUCUUUUAUAUAAGAGUAAUGUGGUCUACGUGUAGAUUAUUGCAAGUAUUAUAUGAAUAAGCAUCGGCUAACUCCGUG
RNAcentral lists this ribosomal RNA (488 nucleotides) under uncultured bacterium. RNAcentral describes it as "bacterial SSU rRNA". It matches the Rfam family "Bacterial small subunit ribosomal RNA", at positions 28 to 507 of the family's 1533-position model. The record is from RNAcentral.